This 1105-nucleotide long non-coding RNA is filed under the name Anas platyrhynchos platyrhynchos (common mallard). Its description in RNAcentral is "lncRNA (ENSAPLG00000029277.1)". The record is from RNAcentral. Lineage: Eukaryota; Metazoa; Chordata; Aves; Anseriformes; Anatidae.
CCGCAGCUCGCCCCAGGAGCUGCACCGCGCCGGGGGCGCGCACGAUUCCCCACGGCCGCUGCUUGCGGGCGCGCUCCCGGCCAGCCGCUGCCUCGCGUGUGCGCGCCUGUGCGGGGGCGCGCAGCCCCCCCGGAGGCCGUGCCAUGCCCGCCCGUGCCCCGCGGGCAGCCCCCCCGUUUCCCUCCCGCACCGGAGCGGGGCUGAGCCGGGGAGCGAUGGAGAGCGGAGCGAAGGCAGCGCUCGGCUUUUAAACGCCGAUCCGGCCCUUUUUGCCCCCCCUUUUUUUUUUUUUUUUUUUUUUUUUUUUUAAUUUCCUUCUUCCCCCACACCCCCCCAAGUGAUGCGGCUGCGGAGAAAGCAGCAAAUCCCCCGGCUGUGCGCGCCCUGCCCGGGAUGCUCCAUCCCCGCCUGUGCCGCCCGGGUGCCUGCGCGGCUGGGAGCGCUGCCUAGGGGCGGCGGGGCAGGGGAAAACACGGCUUGAAGGGGGUGGCACGGGCCUGGGGGGGCCACCUCCGAGGGGCUGCAGGUGGCUUCGAGGCAGGGCUUUGGGGCUCCUGCCGCCUCGUGGGGCAUGGCACGCGUGGGAGCCGGGAGCGCUCGCCCCUGCGGGAGCAGAAGGCGAAGUCUUUCGCGAUGAAUCCCUGGCAGCUUCGAUCGAGCGGUGAGCUGGAGCACCUACCCGCAGGCCACUCCUCGAUGUGACUGCACGGAGGCCUUCGCCAGCGCUCGGAGAGGCGAGCAGAGCCGUGGAUUUACCUCCCUGCGUUCCCCCCAGCACGAGCACCGCCAGGUAAGCGAGCCCCGGCUCGGCUGCCUGCAUCCAUCUCCCUCCUGCUUGCUCCCCAGAGGUGCGAGGGAGGGGAGAGGCAGGGGAUUCUGCCACACCACGGCUGAAGCUCCUCCGGCUCCCUUUUCCCCCCCGCACGCCUCUGCGGGGCGGGGAGGCUAGCGAUGGAAGCGCUGUGGGGUGGCUGCGCGCGGUCCUGAGCCUCUUCCCCUCCUUCCUCGCCCUCCUCUUUGCGCACACACCUGUCUGCUCCUCUCCCCGUGCGAGAUUUUUCCUCCUGGGUUUUGGGGAGAACGGGCAGCCGGGCUGAUGCUGCAG